This 443-nucleotide ribosomal RNA is filed under the name uncultured bacterium. RNAcentral describes it as "bacterial SSU rRNA". It matches the Rfam family "Bacterial small subunit ribosomal RNA", at positions 28 to 476 of the family's 1533-position model. The record is from RNAcentral.
GAUAAACGCUGGCGGCGCACAUAAGACAUGCAAGUCGAACGGACGACUUUGAUUUGUUUUACUUAUCAAAGAAGUUAGUGGCGGACUGGUGAGUAACACGUAAGCAAUCUGCCUACAAGAGGGGAACAACAGUGAGAAAUCACUGCUAAUACCGCAUAAGCUAACAGCUUCGCAUGAAGUAGUUAGAAAAGGAGCAAUCCGCUUGUAGAUGAGCUUGCGCCUGAUUAGCUAGUUGGUGUGGUAACGGCAUACCAAGGCAACGAUCAGUAGCUGUGCUGAGAGGCAGAACAGCCACAUUGGGACUGAGAUACGGCCCAGACUCCUACGGGAGGCAGCAGUCGGGAAUAUUGCACAAUGGAGGAAACUCUGAUGCAGUGACGCCGCGUAUAGGAAGAAGGUUUCGGAUUGUAAACUAUUGUAGUACAGGGAAGAAUCAAGACAGU